AAUGAACGCUGGCGGCAGGCCUAACACAUGCAAGUCGAACGGAUCCUUCGGGAUUAGUGGCGGACGGGUGAGUAACGCGUGGGAACAUACCCAAAGGUACGGAAUAGCCUCGGGAAACUUGGAGUAAUACCGUAUGUGCUCGAAAGAGGAAAGAUUUAUCGCCUUUGGAUUGGCCCGCGUUGGAUUAGGUAGUUGGUGGGGUAAUGGCCUACCAAGCCGAAGAUCCAUAGCUGGUUUGAGAGGAUGAUCAGCCACACUGGGACUGAGACACGGCCCAGACUCCUACGGGAGGCAGCAGUGGGGAAUCUUAGACAAUGGGGGAAACCCUGAUCUAGCCAUGCCGCGUGAUCGAUGAAGGCCUUAGGGUUGUAAAGAUCUUUCAGGUGGGAAGAUAAUGACUGUACCACCAGAAGAAGCCCCGGCUAACUCCGUGCCAGCCGCCGCAGUAA
This 449-nucleotide ribosomal RNA is filed under the name uncultured bacterium. Its description in RNAcentral is "partial 16S ribosomal RNA". It matches the Rfam family "Bacterial small subunit ribosomal RNA", at positions 29 to 523 of the family's 1533-position model. The record is from RNAcentral.